RNAcentral lists this non-coding RNA (25 nucleotides) under Cricetulus griseus (Chinese hamster). Lineage: Eukaryota; Metazoa; Chordata; Mammalia; Rodentia; Cricetidae. The record is from RNAcentral.
GGUUAAGGGCACUGACUGCUGUUCC